Molecule: ribosomal RNA, 657 nt
Filed under: uncultured bacterium
Lineage: Bacteria
Description: bacterial SSU rRNA
Rfam family: Bacterial small subunit ribosomal RNA
Source: RNAcentral
GGGGAGAAGAAAUUGUGACUGCCCGUCGGACGGGUGAGUAACGCGUGGGCAACCUGCCCCAUACAGGGGGAUAACAGCCGGAAACGGCUGCUAAAACCGCAUAAGCGCACAAGGGCCGCAUGGCCUGGUGUGAAAAACUCCGGUGGUAUGGGAUGGGCCCGCGUCUGAUUAGCUAGUUGGCGGGGGAGAGGCCCACCAAGGCGACGAUCAGUAGCCGACCUGAGAGGGUGGCCGGCCACAUUGGGACUGAGACACGGCCCAACUCCUACGGGAGGCAGCAGUGGGGAGUAUUGCACAAUGGGGGAAACCCUGAUGCAGCGACGCCGCGUGAGCGAAGAAGUAUUUCGGUAUGUAAAGCUCUAUCAGCAGGGAAGAAAAAUGACGGUACCUGAGUAAGAAGCACCGGCUAAAUACGUGCCAGCAGCCGCGGUAAUACGUAUGGUGCAAGCGUUAUCCGGAUUUACUGGGCGUAAAGGGAGCGCAGGCGGUGCGGCAAGUCUAAUGUGAAAGCCCGGGGCUCAACCCCGGGACUGCAUUGGAAACUACCGAACUAGAGUGUCGGGGAGGUAAGUGGAAUUCCUAGUGUAGCGGUGAAAUGCGUAGAUAUUAGGAGGAACACCAGUGGCGAAGGCGGCUUACUGGACGAUAACUGACGCU